Molecule: long non-coding RNA, 1928 nt
Organism: Sapajus apella (tufted capuchin)
Lineage: Eukaryota; Metazoa; Chordata; Mammalia; Primates; Cebidae
Exons: 2
Source: RefSeq, a predicted model, not a curated record
AACUCCUGCCUCAGCCUCCCAAAGUGCUGGGAUUAUAGGCGAGAGCCACCAUGCUUGGCCCACCAUGCUAGUUUUUAAGUGAAUGAUACAAAUGCAUCUUGGCAGUUUGCUUCCUCGAACAUACAACAUCAGGUUGUGCUUUCUCAUGCUCGUAUGAAAUAAUCCUGAAUUAAGCCAACAUAGAUGUGCAGCAUACCUAGCGUGUGGACUUCAAGACACAAUCACUCCUUCAUUCACAUCCCUCUGUGACUUCAUCUAUGAUGCAUAUGCAUAUAAAUCCUAAUUGUUAAACACUUCCCACUUUCUAUUCAAGUGCCAUGACAGUAGUCAGCUUGAAAGUCUAUGCAGAUGUUAGAAUAAUUUUUAAAAAGCAUGUUAUUUAGAAGCAUCUAUGCUAUAAAUAUCAAGCUAUACAUGAAGGGCCACUUACAAUAGGAGAAUUAUUUUAUGAUAUAUACCAUACCAGGGCACUUUAAAACAGGCAGGUAAUCUUAAACUUCUCCUCUUCCAAAAACCAGUGCAAGAAAUAGCACCUGAUAUUUGGUUUCUUCUUUAAUAGCCUGGCUAAAUCAUAUAAAAUCCCAAUGUGGUUUCCCUUUCCAGGCAAAGCCCCACAUUUAUAUAAUCCUCAAAACCAUUGCUUGAGUGUUGCUGUGCCCUUUCUGCAACUCAUGUUUCAAGGAUACACUGUUUAAAGAGUUUGAAGGAAGAAGAAUCCAGCUGCCUUGUAACAUCAGCACAGAGCAAACUAGGGUGUACAUAGUGACUGCAUACAAACAGGUGGAACUUAUUUUGUGUUGCAUUUCUGCACAGAGAACAAAACCAUGAAAACACUUCUUAUAGUUAUGCAGACUCAAAGCAAGAUCAGUUUAACUCAUCCAAUCCUAAUAUGUUGUCUCUAGGUUCCAGGUGGCAUGCCCUUUGUUUUGAUGUUCAACCUACCUACAGAGCUGGUAUUAACCUCCAAUGAGAGACUUAUCAGUGGGUCACAUUUCCACCUCUGACGUGACCUAUUCGAGUUGGGGAAGACAUCCACAACCAACAUGGCCAUUAGGCUUCAUCUCCAAGAUGGUGGCCUUGCUAAGCCAGUGGCUAUGAAUACUUAUGUUUGUUUUGAUGUGAAACCACUUACUAUUUACUGUUAUCUGGUGUGCUCAAAAUACUAUCAUUUAAAAAACGGUUCUUCAUGAUUUAGUUAAUUUCUUUUAGACAAGACUUGGUUGCUUUCAAAUUAGAUAAAGGAAAAAGGAGUCAUUUAAAAAUAAAAAGUGACUUGGUAUUUAUUUGUCCAAUUUCAGGUUUGCAGAGAACCAGCAACCUGACAAGCAGCCACUUCUCCUCUAGAUACCAGUGUUAAGCAGGCUGAAGGUCAGAAUCCUGGCAGUUUGUCUCCUACAACAUACAACAUCAGAUUGUGCCAGGAGAGCGCUCCUACGAGUAAAGAUCAACGAUCAAGAUCAAAGAUCCCCAAAAUGGCAAAUACAUAUGUGUAAGAGCUCAAAGUUGGAAGACAUUCCUCUACCGUCUAUUUAUUCUGGUUAUACAUUAAAGCAUAGGAGUUCAUAGCUGAAAAAGAACUGGUUUCUAGGGCAGUCAUUUGGAUCAGAAGGGAUCCACCGAGCUGGGAGUAGGAAAAGAAGGGGGAUGUUACUCACCAACAACCGGAAAAAGAAUUCAGUUGGCCUUAGGAGGAAACUGACUAAGGAUUUGGAAGAAGUGGUCUGUCCCAGAAAUAGACAUUAGCAAAGACCACCAGGCCACUUUUCUUUCUCUGGAAGACUUUCCCAUUGUACUCUCCUUGUGGUCUUAAGUGUGGCAUUAUUUCCACAUAUCCAGCACUUCACCAAAAAGGUCCUUUUCCAAAGAUUACAAAGGGCUCAAGCCUCGAAUACUCCCGAAUUCUCAAGGCAAUGAACUUUGAUACAGUG